CUACGGGGUGCUGCAGUGGGGAAUAUUGGGCAAUGGGCGCAAGCCUGACCCAGCAACGCCGCGUGAGGGAAGAAGGUUUUCGGAUUGUAAACCUCUGUCCUUGGGGACGAAGAAGUGACGGUACCCAAGGAGGAAGCUCCGGCUAACUACGUGCCAGCAGCCGCGGUAAUACGUAGGGAGCAAGCGUUGUCCGGAAUUACUGGGCGUAAAGGGUGCGUAGGCGGCAUAUUAAGUCAGGUGUGAAAUACUCGGGCUCGACCCGGGGGCUGCAUUUGAACCUGAUAUGCUUGAGUGUGAGAGAGGAAAGUGGAAUUCCUAGUGUAGCGGUGGAAUGCGUAGAUAUUAGGAGGAACACCAGUGGCGAAGGCGACUUUCUGGCUCAUAACUGACGCUGAGGCACGAAAGCGUGGGGAGCAAACAGGAUUAGAUACCCGCGUAGUC
This 441-nucleotide ribosomal RNA is filed under the name uncultured bacterium. Its description in RNAcentral is "partial 16S ribosomal RNA". It matches the Rfam family "Bacterial small subunit ribosomal RNA", at positions 339 to 795 of the family's 1533-position model. The record is from RNAcentral.